UCUUGGUUUGGUUUUGGCUGCGGUGA
RNAcentral lists this small RNA (26 nucleotides) under Bombyx mori (domestic silkworm). Its description in RNAcentral is "ovarian small RNA-30210". The record is from RNAcentral. Lineage: Eukaryota; Metazoa; Arthropoda; Insecta; Lepidoptera; Bombycidae.